UUAUGAGAAAAUCCUAAUGAUAUUCGCGCACUACAAUAGUGGAGUUUAUGUUGGCUUGCAACAGAGUUAUUUCCAACAUUCUUGCGAGGCUGCAAGAGGAAACUCAUCAGGUUGUAAGAGGCAGAUCCCAAUCCUGAACUAAACUUGGUACAAAAACUUAUCCAUAUCUCUAUUGACCGAAAAGAAGAACAAAAAUAUACAGGCC
Molecule: long non-coding RNA, 205 nt
Filed under: Elaeis guineensis (African oil palm)
Lineage: Eukaryota; Viridiplantae; Streptophyta; Magnoliopsida; Arecales; Arecaceae
Description: long non-coding RNA (EGUI_LNC005519)
Source: RNAcentral